UCCCAUCAUACCCUUUUGGAGCCAAAUUUGGACAGUUAGUACACACUGGAUCAAUGCUGAUAUCUUCUCUGGUAUUCUCUUCACAUUUAUCAGAAGAACAAUCUUGGGGUGUUAGACCAAAACUUGAACUACGAGCAGCCCUAUCAGCACUCGUUCCUUCAGCAGAAGGAUUGGCAGCAAGUUCAGAGAGGUAAAGAAAGUCAUUGGCUAUGGGAUGUCCUGUAUAUUGCAAAUGCACACGUAUUUGAUGAGUUCGGCCAGUGAUUGGUUUACACAAAACAAUGCUGUGAGUUCC
Molecule: unclassified non-coding RNA, 295 nt
Filed under: Hevea brasiliensis (rubber tree)
Lineage: Eukaryota; Viridiplantae; Streptophyta; Magnoliopsida; Malpighiales; Euphorbiaceae
Source: RNAcentral